AGCCUGAACGCUGGCGGCGUGGCUAAGACAUGCAAGUCGUACGGGUGCAGCAAUGCAUCAGUGGCGGACGGGUGAGUAAAGUAUCGCUAACGUGCCCCUAUGUUCGGGAUAGCCGAGGGAAACUUCGGGUAAUACCGGGAGACAUCACCGCGAGGCAUCUCGUGGUGCUCAAAGGCGUAAGCCGCAAAAGGGGAGCGGGCGAUAUCGUAUCAGCUAGUUGGCGGGGUAACGGCCCACCAAGGCGACGACGCGUAGCCGGACUGAGAGGUUGGCCGGCCACAUUGGGACUGAGACACUGCCCAGACUCCUACGGGGGGCUGCAGUAACGAAUCUUCCGCAAUGCACGCAAGUGUGACGGAGCGACGCCGCGUGUGGGACGAAGCCCUUCGGGGUGUAAACCACUGUCAGGGAUAGGAAGAACUGAUCCAUCCCAGAGGAAGGCACGGCUAACUCUGCGCCAGCAGCCGCGGUAA
RNAcentral lists this ribosomal RNA (473 nucleotides) under uncultured bacterium. RNAcentral describes it as "SSU rRNA". It matches the Rfam family "Bacterial small subunit ribosomal RNA", at positions 26 to 523 of the family's 1533-position model. The record is from RNAcentral.